AACGAACGCUGGCGGCAUGCCUAACACAUGCAAGUCGAACGAGACCUUCGGGUCUAGUGGCGCACGGGUGCGUAACGCGUGGGAACCUGCCCUUAGGUUCGGAAUAACUCCCCGAAAGGGGUGCUAAUACCGGAUAAUGUCUUCGGACCAAAGAUUUAUCGCCUUUGGAUGGGCCCGCGUUGGAUUAGCUAGUUGGUAGGGUAAAAGCCUACCAAGGCGACGAUCCAUAGCUGGUCUGAGAGGAUGAUCAGCCACACUGGGACUGAGACACGGCCCAGACUCCUUCGGGAAGCAGGAGUGGGGAAUAUUAGACAAUGGGCGAAAGCCUGAUCCAGCAAUGCCGCGUGAGUGAUGAAGGCCUUAGGGUUGUAAAGCUCUUUUACCCGGGAUGAUAAUGACAGUACCGGGAGAAUAAGCGCCGGCUAACUCCGUG
Molecule: ribosomal RNA, 433 nt
Filed under: uncultured bacterium
Lineage: Bacteria
Description: partial 16S ribosomal RNA
Rfam family: Bacterial small subunit ribosomal RNA
Source: RNAcentral